RNAcentral lists this ribosomal RNA (500 nucleotides) under uncultured bacterium. RNAcentral describes it as "bacterial SSU rRNA". It matches the Rfam family "Bacterial small subunit ribosomal RNA", at positions 899 to 1397 of the family's 1533-position model. The record is from RNAcentral.
ACUCAAAGGAAUUGACGGGGACCCGCACAAGCAGCGGAGCAUGUGGUUUAAUUCGAAGAUACGCGAAAAACCUUACCCAGACUUGACAUCCUUUGCAUAACCCCGAAAAGGGUGAAAUUAUAGCAAUAUAACAAAGUGACAGAUGGUGCAUGGUUGUCGUCAGCUCGUGUCGUGAGAUGUUCGGUUAAGUCCGAUAACGAGCGCAACCCUUGUCUUUAGUUGCCAGCAUUAAGUUGGGCACUCUAGAGAGACUGCCGUGGCUAACACGGAGGAAGGUGGGGAUGACGUCAAAUCAUCAUGCCUCUUACGUCUGGGGCUACACACGUGCUACAAUGGUCGUGACAAAGAGCUGCAAGCUAGUAAUAGCAAGCGAAUCUCAAAAAAGCGAUCUCAAUUCGGAUUGAGGGCUGAAACCCGCCCUCAUGAAGUCGGAGUUGCUAGUAAUCCCGAAUCAGCAUGUCGGGGUGAAUGCGUUCCCGGGUCUUGUACACACCGCCCGU